CUACAUCUCUUCAUUUAUUCAAUAAUUAUGUAUAUUUAGUAUUAAUUAUUAAUCUUUAUUAUUUUUUUUACUGUGCAUUGUACACUGUAAAUAUGCAGGUAGUUUGGCCCUAGCUCGCUUUGGUCAGCGUCUCCACCUUUGGUUGGCAAGUGCAUAGAUGUUUGGUUGGCAGCAAUGAAGGCUCCAUCUUUUGACUAUAUUUGGAGUUCCUGUGUUUAGUUCUGGUUUCCAAUGGGUUGCUGGGGGGAUAUCUGAAGAUAUGGAGCAAUUAGAGUAUGUAGCCUCAUCUUCUUUUUAUUUUUUAAUAUCUGUCUGUUUUUUUAUAAUUUUUUU
This is a non-coding RNA of Pelobates cultripes (western spadefoot toad), 333 nucleotides long. NCBI's taxonomy places the organism in Eukaryota, Metazoa, Chordata, Amphibia, Anura, Pelobatidae. The record is from the annotation of a GenBank genome assembly.